This 530-nucleotide ribosomal RNA is filed under the name Chondracris rosea. RNAcentral describes it as "partial 16S ribosomal RNA". It matches the Rfam family "Archaeal large subunit ribosomal RNA", at positions 1923 to 2689 of the family's 2987-position model. The record is from RNAcentral. Lineage: Eukaryota; Metazoa; Arthropoda; Insecta; Orthoptera; Acrididae.
CNUCNCUGAAANAUNUGAGGUCUGGCCUGCUCACUGAGCGAUUUUUAAAGAGCCGCGGUAUUUUGACCGUGCAAAGGUAGCAUAAUCAUUAGUCUCUUAAUUGGUGGCUGGAAUGAAUGGCUUGACGAGAAAUCUACUGUCUCUUAAUAAUUUUUUGAAUUUAACUUUUAAGUCAAAAGGCUUAAAUUUAUCUUUAGGACGAGAAGACCCUAUAGAGCUUAACAUUUUACUUUUAUAUAGUUUUUGGUUAGUCUUUCUGUAUUUAAUUAUAAUGUUUUGUUGGGGUGACAUAAAGAAUAAAUAAACUCUUUAUUAUUAUAUCAUUGAUUUAUGUUUGUUGUUUUGAUCCAUAAUUUAUGAUCAUAAGAUUAAGUUACCUUAGGGAUAACAGCGUAAUUGUUUUCGAGAGCUCAUAUCGACAAAGCAGAUUGCGACCUCGAUGUUGGAUUAAGAAAAAAUUUGGGUGCAGGAGCCCAUUAUUUAGGUCUGUUCGACCUUUAAAUUCUUACGUGAUCUGAGUUUCANCCGGG